GUGGGGAAUUUUGGACAAUGGGCGCAAGCCUGAUCCAGCCAUGCCGCGUGCAGGAUGAAGGCCUUCGGGUUGUAAACUGCUUUUGUACGGAACGAAAAGACUUCUUCUAAUACAGGAGGUCCAUGACGGUACCGUAAGAAUAAGCACCGGCUAACUACGUGCCAGCAGCCGCGGUAAUACGUAGGGUGCAAGCGUUAAUCGGAAUUACUGGGCGUAAAGCGUGCGCAGGCGGUUUUGUAAGACAGGCGUGAAAUCCCCGGGCUCAACCUGGGAAUUGCGCUUGUGACUGCAAGGCUGGAGUGCGGCAGAGGGGGAUGGAAUUCCGCGUGUAGCAGUGAAAUGCGUAGAUAUGCGGAGGAACACCGAUGGCGAAGGCAAUCCCCUGGGCCUGCACUGACGCUCAUGCACGAAAGCGUGGGGAGCAAACAGGAUUAGAUACCCCUGUAGUCC
This 450-nucleotide ribosomal RNA is filed under the name uncultured bacterium. RNAcentral describes it as "partial 16S ribosomal RNA". It matches the Rfam family "Bacterial small subunit ribosomal RNA", at positions 354 to 796 of the family's 1533-position model. The record is from RNAcentral.